Molecule: long non-coding RNA, 843 nt
Organism: Perca fluviatilis (European perch)
Lineage: Eukaryota; Metazoa; Chordata; Actinopteri; Perciformes; Percidae
Exons: 3
Source: RefSeq, a predicted model, not a curated record
CUAUACAAAUCACAACGUGUAAAUAGGAACAUGUUGGUGUUAUUUUGUCACUUAUUGGGAGCAGUAGGCUGGUUGGAAACGAUUACUUUCAGGAUCCGUGCUAGACUAAGCUACCGAUGGAGCCGACGAACAGAGUUACAGCACGCACAGAGAUGAGAAGGCUCCAGUGGUUGAUGGAUUCCAAAAUGACUACUGUUUGAGUACCUGAUGACCAUGCUGAAGGCGAUUCCUCUUCCUUAAUCACUUCAUUUCCAUCUCUCGCCGAGAAAAGAGAGCGGCUGGGAUGGUGCAGGCACAGCGUUAAGAGAUUUCCAGCGAUCUUCUAUCGUCAAAGGGCCAGACAAGAUGGCUUCAAACUACCCAAUAAAGCAAAAUCCUUGUAAUGGCAAGAUUUCCAGUGGAGCAGUAAUUGACUACAAGCAAAUCCUGCAGAAAACAAGUGUGUGGAGAAGAAAGCCCAUAGACAGACUAUGCGGAGUGGUGACCCCAACUAGAGUGGGUUCACCUCAACUGUACAUCAUCCUGACCAUCAGUCCCCAACUCUCCUACCCCUGGGAUGAGGCCAUCAAUUCCUGGGACAGGCCUUUCAUCAUCGUGUGUGUGUGUGUGUGUGUGUGUGUGUGUGUGUGUGUGUGUGUGUGUGUGUGUGUGUGUGUGUGUGUGUGUGUGUGUGUGUGUGUGUGUGUGUGUGUGUGUGUGUGUGUGUGUGUGUGUGUGUGUGUGUGUGUGUGUGUGUGUGUGCGUGCGACCGAGACAUGGGAGUGUACACAUCAGUAAAUCACAUGUGAUAACUACACUUCCGUAAAUUAAGGCCUCAGCAUGGGCCCAACCAAUCGCUGACGG